GGUGGCUCAGUGGUAGAGCGCUUGUCUUGCAUGCAUGAGGUCCUGGGUUCGAUUCCUCAGCACCA
Non-coding RNA from Dipodomys ordii (Ord's kangaroo rat), 65 nucleotides. NCBI's taxonomy places the organism in Eukaryota, Metazoa, Chordata, Mammalia, Rodentia, Heteromyidae. The record is from Rfam.